AGUGGCGCACGGGUGCGUAACGCGUAUGCAACCUACCUUCCACUGGGGGAUAGCCCGUCGAAAGACGGAUUAAUACCGCAUAUGACCACAGGAGGGCAUCCGAUUGUGGUAAAAGCUGAGGCGGUGGAAGAUGGGCAUGCGUGCCAUUAGCUAGUUGGCGGGGUAAAGGCCCACCAAGGCGACGAUGGCUAGGGGUUCUGAGAGGAUGGUCCCCCACACUGGUACUGAGACACGGACCAGACUCCUACGGGAGGCAGCAGUAGGGAAUAUUGGGCAAUGGCCGAGAGGCUGACCCAGCCAUGCCGCGUGCAGGAAGAAGGCCUUCUGGGUUGUAAACUGCUUUUAUCGGGGAAGAAAACGCUCUUGCGAGAGUAACUGACGGUACCCGAUGAAUAAGCACCGGCUAACUCCGUGCCAGCAGCCGCGGUAAUACGGAGGGUGCAAGCGUUGUCCGGAUUUAUUGGGUUUAAAGGGUGCGUAGGCGGCCCGUUAAGUCAGCGGUGAAAUCCCAGGGCUCAACCCUGGAACUGCCGUUGAUACUG
RNAcentral lists this ribosomal RNA (542 nucleotides) under bacterium EP1.01. Its description in RNAcentral is "bacterial SSU rRNA". It matches the Rfam family "Bacterial small subunit ribosomal RNA", at positions 94 to 635 of the family's 1533-position model. RNAcentral also lists the same sequence under 8 other names. The record is from RNAcentral.